CAAGUCGAGGGGCAGCAGGACGGUAGCAAUACCGUUGCUGGCGACCGGCAAACGGGUGCGGAACACGUACGCAACUUACCCAUAACUGGGGGAUAGCCCGGGGAAACCCGGAUUAAUACCUCGUAACAUCAUUGAGUGGCAUCACUUGAUGAUUAUAGCUCCGGCGGUUAUGGAUGGGCGUGCGGCUGAUUAGGUAGUUGGCGGGGUAACGGCCCACCAAGCCUGCGAUCAGUAACUGGUGUGAGAGCACGACCAGUCACACGGGCACUGAGACACGGGCCCGACUCCUACGGGAGGCAGCAGUAAGGAAUAUUGGUCAAUGGACGCAAGUCUGAACCAGCCAUGCCGCGUGAAGGAUGAAGGUCCUCUGGAUUGUAAACUUCUUUUAUAUGGGACGAAACCCGGGUAUUCCUACCCGAUUGACGGUACCAUAGGAAUAAGCACCGGCUAACUCCGUGCCAGCAGCCGCGGUAAUACGGAGGGUGCAAGCGUUAUCCGGAUUCACUGGGUUUAAAGGGUGCGUAGGAGGGCAGGUAAGUCAGUGGUGAAAUCUCCGGGCUUAACUCGGAAACUGCCGUUGAUACUAUCUGUCUUGAAUACCGUGGAGGUGAGCGGAAUAUGUCAUGUAGCGGUGAAAUGCUUAGAUAUGACAUAGAACACCGAUUGCGAAGGCAGCUCACUACACGAAUAUUGACUCUGAGGCACGAAAGCGUGGGGAUCAAACAGGAUUAGAUACCCUGGUAGUCCACGCCCUAAACUAUGGAUACUCGACAUACGCGAUACACUGUGUGUGUCUGAGCGAAAGCAUUAAGUAU
Molecule: ribosomal RNA, 815 nt
Filed under: uncultured Sphingobacteriia bacterium
Lineage: Bacteria; Pseudomonadati; Bacteroidota; Sphingobacteriia
Description: bacterial SSU rRNA
Rfam family: Bacterial small subunit ribosomal RNA
Source: RNAcentral